This is a long non-coding RNA of Esox lucius (northern pike), 1957 nucleotides long. The record is from Ensembl. NCBI's taxonomy places the organism in Eukaryota, Metazoa, Chordata, Actinopteri, Esociformes, Esocidae.
CCAAAAGCAUGACGGUGCCUUCUAUUUCCAGUCUAACUCGUGAAUUGAGAUCGGGUGUCCGUUGUCGCGCUCCUCUCUGGCAGGCGGAGAAGUUUCACUUGCCUUCUAUAUCUGCUGAGUGCGGGAUAAUUUGCAGUGUUCUUGACAAGAUCAUAACGUUUCUUUUUUUUUUUUUCGGUGUGCAUUUCAUUCACCCAUACCUGGCGUUUCACUACCUAAGAUGUGCUGUGAGUUUUGUACAUUGUUUUAUAGUGUCUGAUGUGUUUUUCGGAGUAGACGGUGGUUAGACGAGGUGCCAGAAGUUCUGUUCUAAUGGCAGGUGGUCAAAAGAUGCAUGGUUAGAUAACUCUGUGGUACGCAGAACAGUCGUGGUGUGCUUCUGCGGCUGGUCAAGCGGCGACUGCCUUGGAGAACUUCGGAUUGGUUCGUUAUCUGCUGGAUUGACCGUUGAGUUGGUAACGGACUGUCAAAAUGAAAUGCACUCUUAAAGGAAAAAACGUUAUUGCACAAUGACACGGGCUACUAGACAGUUGGGAACCGGUACAUUCGUUUGGAGCGGCAUAGUCUUUCGAUCUACAAAAGCGGCACGUGGAAUAAACCUUGGACCCCAGAGCGUCAGACUGUUUCAUCCAAAAACAUUUUCCUCUGCAGCAAUUUUUGUAAGACUGUCUUGGGUGGGAUUUAGCCUUUUGUGCGAACUGUAUCUGGGGUGACAAACUUUUUUUAGUAUUUUAUUUUUAAAUCCAUCUAUGCUUUUAAAAUGAUGAUAUUCAAUGUGCUUAGUGUAUGGAUUAUAUUUUUUAAACGGGCAAGUCGAAAUUCUAUAACGGUACACUUCCAGUACAAUGGGUUCUAUUUUUGUGACUGCGUGAAAGGGAAGACUUGAGUAUCAACCUAAAGCAGAAUUCUUCGGGGAGCAAAAAACAUAGCUUUUUUUUUUUUAAACUGGUUUUGCACUGAAAUGGAAACCUGAUUGAGGUCUGUGGUCUGUCUUCUUUGUUGCACUAUUAUUCAACAACCUGUCAGGGUAAAAAAAAAAAAAACACUUUCUUCAGAUCCUCCCCCUCUUACUACUGGAAACCACAUAUUUCCUGACUGUCUGAAUUUUCUUCAGGCAAUGCUUUUCAGUAAUGAACUGCAACCCAUUCAGUUAACGUUUGGUAAUUUGUACUGGUAAAAUCCACUUCGCUACAUCACUCAGUGUGGGGCAGUCACUGGUGUUGCACGUGUGUUACAUACCCUGAAAGGCAGAUGCCUUCGGCUGGAAUAAAGCUAGGUGCCAAACAUGGGAGUGAUGGAGCCCUGGACUCCAGCAUUGAGUCAGUGCAGAGCUACACCCCUGUGGCCUCUUGUGUUUCCACAAUAGGGAUAAGUUUCACAGCUGCCUAAAUACUCUGUUUCAGAUUUAUCAGCAAAAAAGGGCACUUACUGCAAUUCUACUUUUUGCAAUGGGCAACAAUGGAGUCCGUUGAAGGGGAAGCCAUCACGCUUUCAGGCUGGUUUUCGGAAGUCUGAAAAUUUUUACGUUAAGCAGUACCUUAAAAUUGGGUGGCGAUAACCUUUCUCCACAGAUUCUCCUUUCAACUCUUUUCCCUUUUCUUUUUGUUUAAUGAAAUUUCAGCCAAACACCCACCUCUACCCCCUUUCAAAUUACCCCUCAACUUAAGCAAAGGCUGUAAGCUUUUUCCACUGUUGAAAAAAUAAAUAAAAAUGCAGUAGAGCGGAUCUAAGUGUGUAUCGUUCUGGUCCUCAUUUCCAUGGAAUAGGAUUGCCUUCUUGGCUUCAGCAGGUGUGGUAAAAUCAGCAGUCAAGUUGGUUGCCAUUUUUUAUUUACUGUGUUUACUUUCUACAUUUUGCUAGUAGAAAAAAAAAAGUGUUGCAGGUGGAUCAAAUUUUCUUUUUGUUUUAGUUUUCCCAUUUUCAAUGUGUUGGACUUAAUAAACUACUGAUAUCUGCA